UGACAUUUAAAGUUUAAUCAGUAAUCUGUUCACCUUCCUUGAUUAAAAAGAAAAAAAAAGUAGGAUAAUUGGAUCGGUCGACUCAACAUUAAUUAUAAUAACUUAUUAAACUAAUUAAAAAUUAAUAAAAAACAUUUGAAGCUGUUGUCAAACCUCUUUUGUUGUCAAUCCAUGUCAUCGCCACAUAGGAUUUAACAUUUUGGUUGGAGAAUAUUAAUCUGAUUUUUUUUUGCUGUUAUAACUGAUAUGUACAUUUUGACAUCUUCUUUGAAGAUGCUCUUACCUCUAUUAGAAAGAUAAUACAAAUAGGAGAUAAAUAUAAUAUUACUCUUUAAACGAUAGAUGGAGCCUGGAGAAGAUAUUACCAAGUUGACAGGGAAAAUUACCAUAAAAAAGAAGAGGAGAACGUGACACUCCAAUAUUUCUAUCCCUUAUCAUAUGUAAAAUUACAUAUAAUACCCUUGUAUCUUCCAAGAUAAAAUUAAUAAAACACUCUUGGUUUGCUAAUUUGGUUUUAGAAGAUUCAUUCUGUUCAAACUAAAAUGCGGCAACGGCUUGUAGCUCAAAGAAUUAAAAGUGUUUAACUUUACAUACGAAGUCCUGCGUUUAAUCUUACCCUUGCAAUGUAUAUAAAAAAAUUCUAACAUAUAAUAAUAUCAUCCGAGUAACGUUCUAUGCUAAUAAUACAUAGAUAUGUGUAGAUAAAUAAAAGUGGCACCGACAUCCGUAGUCAAGAAUUUCUCCAAUAGAGUAGGCAAUGACAUUAAAUAUGUACAAUUCAAAGUAACUUUGCAGAAUGACAAAACGAAUUUCCUGAAUUAAAUUGCAGAAAACGAAGUCAGAAUUCAUGAAGAAAACAAAGAGUUAACUGAUCAUUAACAUUGUACAUAAACAUAAUAAGCAUAUUAGCAACGCCAGCAUGACAGAACCAAUAUCCUUCCCAGAAAAAGAAAAAAAAAAACCUUAAUCCAUUUAGCCAGCAACUUGAUCUGUCAACUAUACCCUUCUUGAAGCAACAUAGAAAACCAAGUACAAAGAGAGUCGGAAGAACACCAAAAUCCUCUCAAAAAUGGCAUCCGCAAAACAAGUAGAAGAAACAGAUUCUGAGCAGCAAAACCACGGCCUCGAACGCCGCCACGAUCUUGAAAACCACAUCAUCGUAAAAGGAAAGCUGCAGAUUCAGCGGCCGGAACUUGAAGGCAGACCCCAAAUACUUCCACCUCAAACUCCACGACUCUUUCUUCAUCCUCUUAAAGAACAACCACCUCUUCUUUCCCCCACCCGCCAUCUUCUGUUUCACUCUCUCUCUCUAGAUUUCCGCCCUUCUCUGCCUUCUCCUUUCUGGUUUUUUGGUUUGGGGGAUGUGGUGGUUU
Molecule: long non-coding RNA, 1373 nt
Filed under: Malus domestica (apple)
Lineage: Eukaryota; Viridiplantae; Streptophyta; Magnoliopsida; Rosales; Rosaceae
Description: long non-coding RNA (MDOM_LNC005332)
Source: RNAcentral